Molecule: non-coding RNA, 46 nt
Organism: Trichobilharzia regenti
Lineage: Eukaryota; Metazoa; Platyhelminthes; Trematoda; Strigeidida; Schistosomatidae
Source: Rfam
UUACUGAUGAAGAGUUCAAAACCGGGACGAAACAGCUGUCCAGUAU